This 938-nucleotide ribosomal RNA is filed under the name uncultured bacterium. RNAcentral describes it as "bacterial SSU rRNA". It matches the Rfam family "Bacterial small subunit ribosomal RNA", at positions 8 to 916 of the family's 1533-position model. The record is from RNAcentral.
AGAGUUUGAUCAUGGCUCAGGAUGAACGCUGGCGGCGUGCCUGAUACAUGCAAGUCGAACGGGCCGACUAGACUUGGGCGGUCGAGCGGAGAUAGCGGGCAAGAAAUUGUUCAAAAUCCGAGCGGAGCAAGAAGAGUCGUUGUUGGUCAGUGGCGGACGGGUGAGUAACACGUGGGUCAUCUGCCUCGAGGUGGGGAACAACUAUUCGAAAGGGUAGCUAAUUCCGCAUGUGGUCCGAGAGGAAGAAAGGCCGGAAGACCGCCUUGAGAUGAGCCCGCGGCCGAUUAGCUAGUUGGUGAAGUAAGAGCCCACCAAGGCGACGAUCGGUAGCUGGUCUGAGAGGAUGAUCAGCCACACUGGGAUUGAGAACGGCCCAGACUCCUACGGGAGGCAGCAGUAAGGGAUAUUGCACAAUGGGGGAAACCCUGAUGCAGCAACGCCGCGUGGGUGAAGAAGGCUUUCGAGUCGUAAAACCCUUUUCUAGGGGAAGAGGAAGGACAGUACCCUAGGAACAAGUCUCGGCUAACUACGUGCCAGCAGCCGCGGUAAGACGUAGGAGGCGAGCGUUAUCCGGAUUCAUUGGGCGUAAAGGGCAAGUAGGCGGUUGUCAAAGUUGGGCGUGACAUCUCCUGGCUUAACUAGGAGGGGUCGUUCAAAACUAGGCGACUAGAGGGCAGAAGAGGAAAGCGGAACUCCUGAUGUAGCGGUGGAAUGCUCAGAUAUCAGGAAGAACACCAGUGGCGAAAGCGGCUUUCUGGUCUGCACCUGACGCUGAGAGGCGAAGCCAGGGUAGCGAACGGGCUUAGAUACCCCGGUAGUCCUGGCGGUAAACGGUGGAUACUAGGUAUCAGGGUCAAGGCCUUUGGUGCCGAAGCCAACGCGUUAAGUAUCCCGCCUGGGGACUACGGCCGCAAGGUUAAACUCAAAGGAAUUGACGG